GAUGAACGCUGGCGGCGUGCCUAAUACAUGCAAGUCGAGCGAACAGACGAGGAGCUUGCUCCUCUGACGUUAGCGGCGGACGGGUGAGUAACGCGUGGAUAACCUACCUAUAAGACUGGGAUAACUUCGGGAAACCGGAGCUAAUACCGGAUAAUAUAUUGAACCGCAUGGUUCAAUAGUGAAAGACGGUUUUGCUGUCACUUAUAGAUGGAUCCGCGCCGCAUUAGCUAGUUGGUAAGGUAACGGCUUACCAAGGCAACGAUGCGUAGCCGACCUGAGAGGGUGAUCGGCCACACUGGAACUGCGCCACGGUCCAGACUCCUACGGGAGGCAGCAGUAGGCAAUCUUCCGCAAUGGGCGAAAGCCUGACGGAGCAACGCCGCGUGAGUGAUGAAGGUCUUCGGAUCGUAAAACUCUGUUAUUAGGGAAGAACAAAUGUGUAAGUAACUAUGCACGUCUUGACGGUACCUAAUCAGAAAGCCACGGCUAACUACGUG
Molecule: ribosomal RNA, 497 nt
Filed under: uncultured bacterium
Lineage: Bacteria
Description: partial 16S ribosomal RNA
Rfam family: Bacterial small subunit ribosomal RNA
Source: RNAcentral